Long non-coding RNA from Acanthochromis polyacanthus (spiny chromis), 1518 nucleotides. RefSeq lists it as uncharacterized. Lineage: Eukaryota; Metazoa; Chordata; Actinopteri; Pomacentridae. The record is from RefSeq and is a predicted model, not a curated record. The transcript has 5 exons.
GCAAUUGAAUAUACACGAUUUAUCGACACCUUCAGUUGGUAUAAAUUUCAUUCAAGAUCAUAGGCAUUUCACUUGCUGUUUAACUAUGCCACACUUAAACCAAAUUGAGAGGAACCAAGCCAUCGGACGUCUGCAAGCUGGAGAGUCUGUCCGAGACAUUGCCCGUCACUUUAAUGUCAACAUCACCACCAUUUACCGUCUCCAGCGUCGAUACAACACCACACAGAGCACCGAUGACCUUCCCCGAAGCGGACAGACUCUCUAGAUAUUCAAGUCAACGUUUGAAAAUGUAUAUGUGUGAUACAUUGCUGACAAUGUCCACAAGACUGUGUCCACAAAAGAAUUCGAAAAUUUCCAUCCCCGAAAUCUGGAUGACUUCAAUGCCAAGAAGCGGUAUAAAAUCCUCUGGAGAAGGACCCCAGAGGAAAGCGGCUCUUAUUAUUAUGGGCAAAUUUUAAAAUUGGCAGGGAUCCUGAAACAGUCUCUCCCCCAGUCUGGAAAAACAGGUCUGGAAGGACCUGACGUGAUCACCCCAGAGCUGGACGAAGAAGGAAAAAUCAAACUUGGUCCAGGAGUUUCCCUGAACAAGGAGAAAUGGCAGAGGGUGCAGGAGGCAAAAUCAAACUCCCAAUUCUGCAAGUCGUUGGCAGUUUGCAUUUGGGGCACAGAGGGACUGAGGGAGAGAAGAGUCACAGGGGCCAAAUCAAACGCGGUCAAAGACUCAGUCCCCAAGCGUCCCCUGACCCCAGAAAAAGUGGCUGUCAUAAGAGAUAAGUACCUUAUAACCCAUUAUACAACAGUUAGUUCCAACUGAGUAAUUUAACUGGAUGAGAGGCAUUCUGUGAGUGCUGAUAUACAGUACAACAUCACUGGGACUUUUUACAGACAUAUCACUCCAGUGUACAGUCAUCCUAUUAACUGUUAAUUAGCAUUACAGGGAACCCCGACACGCAGCAGAGGGAAUUACAAUCACCGGCUCAAAAUACAUGAUUUGAACUCAUUUUAUUGAUUAAAAAACUGCAUGCGGGGACCCGUGGCCAUAGUGUCAUAUUGUCUCGGCUUGCUGCGGCGCUGUGUACGGAAGCCUGUGAGGGCGCGUAGAGAAAUGGAAGGAACAUCAAUAAAAAUUGAUUUUUAAAAAUUAUGAAUGAAUUGAGAAUUGUAAAGGAUAAUAAUCCCGACUCUUAUAUAAAUGGAUUUUUUUUCUCCCACCCCUACCUCUUUUUUCUUUUAAAUUGAUUUCUCACAGCAGCUUUGUCGUGGUUUGCUAAGUCAAAUACUUUGUCUUUGGUGACAGACUGCCUGAGGGACCGGCUUCAGAAGAUGGGCUAUCCAAAGGAGGCCAUUGAACAGCAGCUGGCCCUAGUUAGACGAACCACAUCAGAAAAGAUUAGUGAUAUUAGGAAGAGGAGCCCUCAGACAGAGGGAAAGCAGUAAACUGCUGCUGUCGACGCCACAUACUUCUUUGCCAAAGUUGUUGGUUGGUUUAAAAAAAUCAAUAAAAAUGACAAACUGCAA